Oncorhynchus tshawytscha (Chinook salmon) is the source of this 514-nucleotide long non-coding RNA. The record is from Ensembl. NCBI's taxonomy places the organism in Eukaryota, Metazoa, Chordata, Actinopteri, Salmoniformes, Salmonidae.
GGUCUGGUCAGUUGAUAUUUGAUCCAGGUCUGGUCAGUUGAUAUUGGAUUCAGGUCUGGUCAGUUGAUAUUGGAUUCAGGUCUGGUCAGUUGAUAGUUGAUCCAGGUCUGGUCAGUUGAUAUUUGAUCCAGGUCUGGUCAGUAGUCAGUUGAUAUUGGAUUCAGGUCUGGUCAGUAGUCACUUGAUAUUUGAUCCAGGUCUGGUCAGUAGUCACUUGAUAUUUGAUCCAGGUCUGGUCAGUUGAUAUUUGAUCCAGGUCUGGUCAGUAGUCAGUUGAUAUUUGAUCCAGGUCUGGUCAGUAGUCAGUUGAUAUUUGAUCCAGGUCUGGUCAGUAGUCAGUUGAUAUUUGAUCCAGGUCUGGUCAGUAGUCAGUUGAUAUUUGAUCCAGGUCUGGUCAGUAGUCAGUUGAUAUUUGAUCCAGGUCUGGUCAGUAGUCAGUUGAUAUUUGAUCCAGGUCUGGUCAGUAGUCAGUUGAUAUUUGAUCCAGGUCUGGUCAGUUGAUAUUUGAUCCAGG